RNAcentral lists this ribosomal RNA (326 nucleotides) under uncultured eukaryote. RNAcentral describes it as "partial 18S ribosomal RNA". It matches the Rfam family "Eukaryotic small subunit ribosomal RNA", at positions 1470 to 1796 of the family's 1831-position model. The record is from RNAcentral.
CCCUUAGAUGUUCUGGGCCGCACGCGCGCUACACUGAUGCAUUCAACAAGCCUAGCCUUGACCGAGAGGUCCGGGUAAUCUUUGGAACUGCAUCGUGAUGGGGCUAGAUUAUUGCAAUUAUUAAUCUUCAACGAGGAAUGCCUAGUAAGCGUGAUUCAUCAAAUCGCGUUGAUUACGUCCCUGCCCUUUGUACACACCGCCCGUCGCUCCUACCGAUUGAAUGUGUUGGUGAGGAGCUCGGAUUGGCAGCAGUUGGUGGUUCGCCACCGGCUAUUGCUGAGAAGUCCUCCAAACCGCCCCAUUUAGAGGAAGGAGAAGUCGUAACA